Molecule: ribosomal RNA, 274 nt
Filed under: uncultured bacterium
Lineage: Bacteria
Description: partial 16S ribosomal RNA
Rfam family: Bacterial small subunit ribosomal RNA
Source: RNAcentral
GUACGAAGGUCCCAAGCGUUAUUCGGAAUCACUGGGCGUAAAGAGUACGUAGGCGGUUUGGUAAGUCAGGUGUGAAAUCCCGGAGCUCAACUCCGGAACUGCAUCCGAUACUGCCAGACUUGAGUAAUGGAGAGGCAGGUGGAAUUCUCGGUGUAGCAGUGAAAUGCGUGGAUAUCGAGAGGAAGACCAAUGGCGAAGGCAGCCUGCUGGACAUUUACUGACGCUGAGGUACGAAGGCUAGGGGAGCGAAAGGGAUUAGAUACCCCAGUAGUCC